RNAcentral lists this ribosomal RNA (301 nucleotides) under uncultured bacterium. RNAcentral describes it as "partial 16S ribosomal RNA". It matches the Rfam family "Bacterial small subunit ribosomal RNA", at positions 509 to 807 of the family's 1533-position model. The record is from RNAcentral.
CAGUCGCCGCGGUAAAACGUAGGUGGCAAGCGUUGUCCGGAAUUAUUGGGCGUAAAGGGCUCGCAGGCGGUUUCUUAAGUCUGAUGUGAAAGCCCCCGGCUCAACCGGGGAGGGUCAUUGGAAACUGGGAAACUUGAGUGCAGAAGAGGAGAGUGGAAUUCCACGUGUAGCGAUGAAAUGCGUAGAGGUGUGGAGGAACACCAGUGGCGAAGGCGACUCUUUGGCCUAUAACUGACGCUGAGGCGCGAAAGCGUGGGGAGCAAACAGGAUUAGAUACCCCUGUAGUCCCUGUCUCUUAUAC